This 72-nucleotide transfer RNA is filed under the name Notacanthus chemnitzii (spiny eel). Its description in RNAcentral is "tRNA-Trp". It matches the Rfam family "tRNA". From Rfam's summary of the family: Transfer RNA (tRNA) molecules are approximately 80 nucleotides in length. Their secondary structure includes four short double-helical elements and three loops (D, anti-codon, and T loops). Lineage: Eukaryota; Metazoa; Chordata; Actinopteri; Notacanthiformes; Notacanthidae. RNAcentral also lists the same sequence under 1 other name. The record is from RNAcentral.
AAGAACUUAGGAUAGCAUUAAGACCAAAAGCCUUCAAAGCUUUAAGCAGGAGUGAAAAUCUCCUAGUUUUUG